UUUGGAGUGGUUUUUCAAAAUCCCAUCUUGAACUGAUUAGCUAUUCCUCCGACUUAUCUAUAGUCUAAAUAUAGACUAAAAUUUGAUAUGGAGAUAUUUUUCUUUAUUCUGUCUUUGGACAGAACGACAGACAGUUGCUGCAGAUGUGGGGGAAAUGUUCGACGUCGAUGGCUGUGAUUGUGAAGGUGUCUGGACACGAAGGGGUGCAUCCUUUAACACCAUGCAUACUGGCUAACCAUGACCUUGUACCAUGACCCCUUUAACACCAUGCAUACUGACUGUAUCGUUCAAAAAGUAAAUGGUAAUGCAGCCGAAUGCUAACAGUAACAUUUCACAAUAGCUCGUGUGGAAUGAGAAAUAAUGAGACGAGAGAAAGAAAAUGAACAGAUAAGAAAAAUCUACGAAAAACGUGCGUGAUAGUAAAAAAUUGAGCAGUGACUUACAGGAUGGUCAAAUAAAGAACAUUCUUGUGUCUCAUUUUGGGGAAAAUCGAUCAGCACAUGAAAAAAUAUCGUCGUUGGAGGUUUUCAAGAUGGCGGCUAUUCUUCAAGAUCGUUAACUAAACGAAAAAGAAUGGACAAAGCACUUCUAACAAUAUUAAACCUUACCCUAAAUCUCUCUCAUUGAUAAUGGUUCUUCAGUAAUUCACAAAAAUAGAGAAAGGGAAACAACUAAUAUAGAAUUAUAGGUGUAUCAUAGUGCUUGGAAAAACUGUUUAUAAAUAGACAAAACAGCAUAUGGCGGCAAUUAAACACCGAGAGAAGCUGAAUAAAUAGAACCACUCUACUGCAUGUAUAGUC
Non-coding RNA from Paramuricea clavata, 800 nucleotides. NCBI's taxonomy places the organism in Eukaryota, Metazoa, Cnidaria, Anthozoa, Malacalcyonacea, Plexauridae. The record is from the annotation of a GenBank genome assembly.